CAAAUAGUUUUGUUUUGACUGUUAUAAAAAGGCAGUCUACUUCACUAAUGAGACGAUCAUUGACUAACAAAAGUUAGAUAACCAACAGUACUUCUACAACCCAUGGAUACUACCUAAAAACAUCAAAAUGCAUUAAAGCACAGAAAGGUUAAGAUUUGACCACGUAAAAGUUAAUGAUUUACUAAUCUUAGGGCAAAUGAGAAACCAUCAAUUAUCAUUAG
Molecule: unclassified non-coding RNA, 221 nt
Filed under: Hevea brasiliensis (rubber tree)
Lineage: Eukaryota; Viridiplantae; Streptophyta; Magnoliopsida; Malpighiales; Euphorbiaceae
Source: RNAcentral